This 373-nucleotide unclassified non-coding RNA is filed under the name soil metagenome. RNAcentral's name for it is "partial contains 5.8S ribosomal RNA, internal transcribed spacer 2, and large subunit ribosomal RNA". The stretch from base 1 to 121 matches the Rfam family "5.8S ribosomal RNA", at positions 35 to 154 of the family's 154-position model. The record is from RNAcentral.
GAUGAAGAACGCAGCGAAAUGCGAUAAGUAAUGCGAAUUGCAGAAUUCCAGUGAGUCAUCGAAUCUUUGAACGCACAUUGCGCCCUUUGGUAUUCCGAAGGGCAUGCCUGUUCGAGCGUCAUUAUCACCCCUCAAGCCCUCGGCUUGGUGUUGGACGGUUUGGUGGAGGCCCCCUCGGGGGCUCCUGCCCCUCCCAAAGACAAUGACGGCGGCCUCGUUGGACCCCCGGUACACUGAGUUCUUCACGGGACACUUAUCGGACACAUGGGUUUACGGGACACGGUCUGCCUCCCCUCAGGGAGAAUCUUUCUAAGGUGGACCUCGGAUCAGGUAGGGAUACCCGCUGAACUUAAGCAUAUCAAUAAGCGGAGGA